This 494-nucleotide ribosomal RNA is filed under the name uncultured bacterium. RNAcentral's name for it is "partial 16S ribosomal RNA". It matches the Rfam family "Bacterial small subunit ribosomal RNA", at positions 28 to 507 of the family's 1533-position model. The record is from RNAcentral.
GACGAACGCUGGCGGCGUGCUUAACACAUGCAAGUCGAACGGAAAGGCCUGCUUUCCCUUGUGGAUUGCGGGUACUCGAGUGGCGAACGGGUGAGUAACACGUGAGUGAUCUGCCCCCAACUUGGGUAUAAGCCUGGGAAACUGGGCCUAAUUCCCGAUAGGACUGCAGGGUGGUGCCUGUGGUGGAAAACGAUUUUCUAGUGGUUGGGGAUGAGCUCGCGGCCUAUCGGCUUGUUGGUGGGGUAAUGGCCUACCAAGGCGGCGACGGGUAGCCGGCCUGGGAGGGUGGACGGCCACAUUGGGACUGAGAUACGGCCCAGACUCCUACGGGAGGCAGCAGUGGGGAAUAGUGCACAAUGGGCGGAAGCCUGAUGCAGCGACGCCGCGUGGGGGAUGACGGCCUUCGGGUUGUAAACUCCUUUCGACCGCGAGGAAGCCACCUGGUUGGAAGGGUGGUGACGGUAGUGGUAGAAGAAGCACCGGCUAACUACGUG